This 290-nucleotide ribosomal RNA is filed under the name uncultured Lachnospiraceae bacterium. RNAcentral's name for it is "partial 16S ribosomal RNA". It matches the Rfam family "Bacterial small subunit ribosomal RNA", at positions 62 to 338 of the family's 1533-position model. The record is from RNAcentral. Lineage: Bacteria; Bacillati; Bacillota; Clostridia; Lachnospirales; Lachnospiraceae.
UUUUGCGGAUUUCUUCGGAUUGAAGCAACUGUGACUGAGCGGCGGACGGGUGAGUAACGCGUGGGUAACCUACCUCAUACAGGGGGAUAACAGUUGGAAACGGCUGCUAAUACCGCAUAAGCGCACAGUACCGCAUGGUACCGUGUGAAAAACUCCGGUGGUAUGAGAUGGACCCGCGUCUGAUUAGCUAGUUGGUGGGGUAACGGCCUACCAACGGCGACCCGAUUCAGUACGUCCGGACCUGAGAGGGUGACCGGCCACAUUGGGACUUGAGACCACGGCCCAACUCC